AUUGCAUUUUUUUAUUUUAAUUUUAUAUGAAGUUUUAUGCUUCAAAUAUAUAAAACACACACACACACACCAAGGGACUAAGAUGUUAUUUCACAGCACUUGCUUGCCUCAGUCUUUAUGAAGAACACAAUUCCAAACUAAUGGACAAGUUCCUCCCUGUACUCUAGGUCAUUCAAAGGAGGCAAGCUCCUUUGUCAAAUCAGGAGCUCCAUCAGCUGAUCAGGAGCUCAGAUGCCAGCGUGGGAGUUUCUUAGUGGGAUCUAGUAUUGCUAGAAAAGCCUUGCUUAUGCAGCAAAAGACAGGCACAUGGGCCUCUUCCCUUAGAAUGUAUCUGUCUCACAUGCUUGGGAACUGCUGUGCAGGAACACCUGGUGUGGCCUGAGGCAGUGUAUAUACGUGGCUCCCCAACAUUGGUCUAUGUUGCACUGUUUUUAAUUUUUUUUUUUUUUUUGAGACAGAGUUUUGCUCUUGUCCCCAGGUUGGAGUGCGAUGGCACGAUCUUGGCUCACUGCAGCCUCUGCCUCCCGGGUUCAAGCAAUUCUGCUGCCUCAGGCUCCCAAGUAGCUGGGAUUACAGGUGCCCGCCACCGUGCCUGGCUAAUUUUUGUAUUUUUAAUAGAGACGGGGUUUCAUCAUGUUGGCCAGGCUGGUCUCAAACUCCUGGCCUCAGGUGAUCCACCCGCCUCGACCUCCCAAAGUGCUGAGAUUACAGGCAUGAGCCACCUCGCCCAGCUGUUUUUAAUUCUCUAAGUUAUCAUUUGCCAUCUCCUUGGCCCUUUGUAGUAAUUCCCCUCCCUUUUUUGUUUUUCUGUGUCCAUCUUUCCCAUUCCAAAUACUUGAUGUAAAGGGAGAUUCCACCUUGAAAACCAGAGUUCCAGUCCUGGCUUGCUGCUACACUCUACUGCUGACCUUGAUCUUGACCUUGACCUUGUCUGCAUUUAUUUCUUUGAUGAGGAGGGCAGACAGAAAAACAUUGCUAUAGUGCUUAAUUUUUUUUUAUUACAAAAGAAAAUGAAGAAAAUAAUUCAAACUAUAGCAGAAACAUGAAAAAGGGAAAAGUGAGUCUUCACUAUUUGUCUCCUUCAGUAACCAUAUUUAUUUGGGUAUAUUCUUGCAUGUUUUUACGGCAAAAACAAAUUCAACAGAUAUAUAUAUAUACUAUUAUGGAACCCUUUUUAUUUUCCUUUGAACUUAACUACGUAGCAUUCUCUGAUAAGUAAUGUAAGCUCCAGACAGCAAGGAUUUUUGACUGCUUCAUUCACUGCUAUAUUUCUGGAGACUAGAAUACUGUUUGGCAUAAAGUAGGUGCCAACAAAUAUUCACUGAACGCACCAGACGUGGUGGCUCACGGCUGUAAUCCUAGCACUUUGGGAGGCCAAGACGAGCAGAUCACUUGAGGCCAGGAGUUCAAGACCAGCCUGACCAACAUGGUGAAACCCCGUCUCUAUUAAAAAUACAAAAAUUAGCCAGGUAUGGGGGCGCAUACCUGUAAUUCCAGCUACUCCAGUGAGUAUCUGGACAGGGGAAUCGCUUAAACCUAGGAGGCGAAGGCUGCAAUGAGCCAAGAUUGCACCACUGCACUCCAGCCUGAGCAACAGAGUGAGACUCUGUCUCAAAAAAAAAAAACUUAAAAAUUAAAAAAAAAAAAAAAAACAGAAGGGGACCAAAUAUACACAUCCCUGGCUCCAUGGAACUCCCAGUUGACCUGACGGAAAAAAAAAAAAAGAAGAAGUAGUAUAUAUACAUAUAUAUAGGUAGUAUAUAAAUAUAUAUAUAGUAGUAUAUAAAUAUAUAGUAGUAUAUAAAUAUAUAUAUAGUAGUAUAUAAAUAUAUAGUAGUAUAUAAAUAUAUAUAUUAGUAGUAUAUAAAUAUAUAUAUAUUUUUUUUUUUUUUUCACUGAAUGAAUGAAAGGACACAAAUCCUCCUUGCUGUCAGAUCAACUAGGAGUUGAAUGGAAUGGAGCCGGGAAUGUGUCUAUUUGGUCCCCUUCUGUGGUCCCAGCACCAAACAAAGUGCCUGGCACACAGUAAGCAUUUAAUAAGUAUUUGUUGAUUUAGCAAAAAAGCUUAAUGAUAAAACCACCUAAUUCUUUUUACUUGCACCAGUGUAUUGACAUAACACUGUAAUCAACAAUUCCCUUAUUCAUUGUAAAAAUCUCCGCAAACACCAUUGCAAUGAUCAGCCUUGUACACAUACCCUUAUUUAAAGAUUUUGGUAGGAUAAGAAUGUCUUUUGAGGGGGACCAUUGAUCUGCUUCAAAUGUGUCGUGAAGUUUCUUCUCACUAGGAUUUCAUGGCAUUAAGACACUUAUGGGCUGGGCACGAUAACCCAACGCCUGUAAUCCCAGAACUUUGGGAGGCCGAGGCGAGUGGAUCACCUGAGGUCAGGAGUUCGAGACCAGCCUGGUCAAUAUGGCAAAACCUCAUCUCUACUAAAAAUACAAAAAAUUAGCCGAGUGUGGUGAUGUGCACCUGUAAUCCCAGCUAUUUGGGAGGCUUUGGUAGGAGAAUCACUUGAACUCAGGAGGUGGAGGUUGCAGUGAGCCAAGAUUGUACCAAUGCACUCCACCCUGGGCGACAGAGCAAGACUCUAUGUCAAAAAAUUUAAAAAGACAGUUCAGAUUAAUUUUUUAGCCUGUAUGAGAGCUGUUCCCUACAAUUAAUUUUGCAAAAUGAUCUCCCUUACGUAUCUGCCUACAGAAUGUCAGUCUGUCCCGAAACUAUCUAGAUGCAGCCCAAUGCUCUAAUUCACACGAGACUGUCAGAAAGACUUCUAGAAACAAGCAGGCUGGCGACAGCCUUGCUGGCCAACAUCUUCUGCAUGCAACACAAUCACAGCUUAGUCAUCACCUGGGGAGGACCAGUUUUUAGGCAGUGAUAGGCCCAUAUUGUUAAUUCAUUCCGAUGUGCUGAGGAUGGCUCAGCAGAAAGAAGGAAAUAGACAAAAGAGUAAGACCCCAACAAAGGCCUGAGCUGAACAAUGUUGAGAAACAAAGGCCACUUUGGCCUGGAUAAGAGUUAAUAUGGGGCUGGGCACAGUGGGUCACACCUGUAAUCCCAGCAAUGUGGGAGGUCGAGGCGGUCAGAUCACACAGUCAGGAGCUUAAGACCAGCCUGGCCAACAUAGUGAAACCCCGUCUCUACUAAAAAUACAAAAAUUAGCUGGGUGUGGUGGUGCAUGCCUGUAGUCCCAGCUACUUGGGAGGCUGAGGCAGGAGAAUCGCUUGAACCCAGGAUGCACAGGUUGUGAUGAGCCGAGAUUGUGCCACUGCACUCCAGCCUGGGCAACAGAGUGAGACUCUGUCUCAAAACAAACAAACAAACAAAAGAGUGAAUAUGGGAGCUUCUGGGUAUUUGUGAGUUCCCUAAGAAGUGAACUUGCAGAGUCACACUCUCUCUGAGCUGUCUAAUGGAAGUCUUCCAGAAAGCUACCUUUCUGAUUAUUUAAGUUUUUCACUCCAAAAAUAUUUAGUCCGGGCACGGUGGCUCACGCCUCAAAUCCCAGCACUUUGGGAAGUCGAGGCAGGGGGGAUUGCUUGAGCCCAGGAGAUUGAGACCAGCCUAGCCAACAUGGUGAAACCUUGUCUCUACUAAAACUAUGCAAAUUAGCUUGGCAUGGUGGUGCAUGGCUAUAGUCCCAGCUACUGGGGAGGCUGAGGCAGAAGAGUGAAUUGUGCCCAGGAGGUCAAGGCUGCAGUGAGUGAAGAUCAUGCCACUGCACUCCAGCCUGGGCGACAGAGUGAGAUUCUUUUAUUAUUAUUAUUAUUAUUAUUAUUAUUAUUAUUAUUAUUAUUAUUAUACUUUAAGUUUUAGGGUACAUGUGCACAGUGUGCCUGUUAGUUACAUAUGUAUACAUGUGCCAUGCUGGUGUGCUGCACCC
Molecule: long non-coding RNA, 3878 nt
Filed under: Homo sapiens (human)
Lineage: Eukaryota; Metazoa; Chordata; Mammalia; Primates; Hominidae
Description: HSALNT0096631
Source: RNAcentral